GAGGAGAGAGAAAAAUGGGAGAGUAACUAGAAGGUUCCCAGAGUUCACACCAUCUCCAUUGAUAAGCAUCUGGAAGGUUGAUUCGAUUCCGCCAUUCCUUCAUUGAUAAGCAUCAGCAAGUGGAAGCAUAUAGUGAGGUCUAUAGUGGAAGCAAGUGGAAAACCCAACCUUGUAUUACUAAUAGUUGCUAGCAAAUAGCAAUUACAUUCAACAACAUGUGAAACUUGUGCACUAUAUUUCGGUUCUCAAGUACAAGUCAUAAUGAGGUAAAAAACUACACAGCUUACUUUGUGUUAUGUUUGUCUUACUUCUGUAGCUUCUUUCUGGUACAUUAUGAAGAUCUGAGCAUUGUACAUUUCUACUCUCUUCUGCAUUUGUGCUGUUAUCUUUGUGCUGCAAACUCAAAGAACCAAAAAUAGGAAGACUUCUAUACCAGUUGAUUUUCUGUUUCUUUUAAUUCUUCUUUGAGUCUGAUUGUAUUAUGUUAAAUUUCUGGUAUAUUGCAAUUUGAAGCUAAAGGAACUCUUUUUUCAGCCUUCUUGUGGUGGGUAAAUUGUUGUUGUUGGGUUACUUGGAUAUAUCAGGUAAUGGUAGAAGAAGUUAAUCUUUGUUUGCCAGCUUUGAUUGAAUGUUCAUCUUUGACUCAUUUUUGGGCUAUUGGGAGAACUCAAGUUGGAAGUCGAACUUUUGAGACAAUUGGGUGUAACAGUUUGAUAUCUCUAUAUGGAGUACUUUGUUGCUACUUAAGAGUUUCUGUUGUUACCUAUAUGAUGUACUCUAUGCUUGCAGUGUCUUCCUUUUUCCAAGACUGUUUUCCAACAGGAGUUAUUCUAUAUAUGGUGUAAUAUUUUGUUACAUAAUAAUUUCUAUUUGUACCUA
Beta vulgaris subsp. vulgaris (sugar beet) is the source of this 879-nucleotide long non-coding RNA. RefSeq lists it as uncharacterized. The record is from RefSeq and is a predicted model, not a curated record. Lineage: Eukaryota; Viridiplantae; Streptophyta; Magnoliopsida; Caryophyllales; Amaranthaceae. The transcript has 3 exons.